Molecule: ribosomal RNA, 371 nt
Filed under: uncultured organism
Description: bacterial SSU rRNA
Rfam family: Bacterial small subunit ribosomal RNA
Source: RNAcentral
CAGAGGGGGCAAGCGUUGUUCGGAAUUACUGGGCGUAAAGGGCGCGUAGGCGGCCCUCUAAGUCGAACGUGAAAUCCCUGGGCUCAACCCAGGAACUGCGUCCGAAACUGGGGGGCUAGAAUCCGGGAGAGGGAUGUGGAAUUCCAGGUGUAGCGGUGAAAUGCGUAGAUAUCUGGAGGAACAUCGGUGGCGAAGGCGGCAUCCUGGACCGGUAUUGACGCUGAGGCGCGAAAGCCAGGGGAGCAAACGGGAUUAGAUACCCCGGUAGUCCUGGCCCUAAACGAUGAAUGCUUGGUGUGGCGGGUAUCGAUCCCUGCCGUGCCGAAGCUAACGCAUUAAGCAUUCCGCCUGGGGAUACGGUCGCAAGGCUG